UAUCUCUGUAGAGUCUGCAUAUCAAUAAGCGGAGGAAAAGAAACUAACAAGGAUUCCCUUAGUAACGGCGAGUGAAGCGGGAAGAGCUCAAAUUUGAAAUCUUCAAGGUUUACCUUGACGAAUUGUAGUUUAAAGAAGUGUUUUCUGUUGGAGUUUCGGUAAAAGUUCUUUGGAAUAGGACAUCAUAGAGGGUGAGAAUCCCGUAUUUGACCGUUAUUUUCAGCUGUGUGAUACACUUUCAAAGAGUCGGAUUGUUUGGGAAUGCAGUCCAAAAUGGGUGGUAAAUUUCAUCUAAAGCUAAAUACUGGCGAGAGACCGAUAGCGAACAAGUACCGUGAGGGAAAGAUGAAAAGAACUUUGAAAAGAGAGUUAAACAGUACGUGAAAUUGUCAAAAGGGAAGCGUUUGACACCAGUGUUGUUUUCUCGAAAAUCAAUUAAAAAAAGUUGGAUUUUGUAUUGUUAAGACCUUAUCCGCUUACUGUACUCUUUUCUUGCUUUUUUUAAUGCACUUUUCGUUUAACAAGUCAACAUCAAUUUCUUUUGUUGUAAAAGAGUCAUUGGAAGGUGGCUUUCACUUCGGUGAAAGUGUUUAUAGCCUUUGGCUUCUGCAAUCGGAGAGAUUGAGGUCUGCAGCGUAGAUCCUUCGGGGCUAGAUACGUAGAUGCUAAGUUAUAGUUUUUUAUAGACAACUUGUUGACUAUAAUUAAUCAUGUAGCUUACUCGUUUGCGCUAUUUUACCUACGCUUAGGAUGUUGAAGAUGUAGCACAUCAU
RNAcentral lists this ribosomal RNA (773 nucleotides) under uncultured Neocallimastigales. RNAcentral describes it as "partial large subunit ribosomal RNA". It matches the Rfam family "Eukaryotic large subunit ribosomal RNA", at positions 24 to 635 of the family's 3401-position model. The record is from RNAcentral. Lineage: Eukaryota; Fungi; Neocallimastigomycota; Neocallimastigomycetes; Neocallimastigales.